RNAcentral lists this ribosomal RNA (312 nucleotides) under Rhizobium leguminosarum. RNAcentral's name for it is "partial 23S ribosomal RNA". It matches the Rfam family "Bacterial large subunit ribosomal RNA", at positions 12 to 260 of the family's 2925-position model. Lineage: Bacteria; Pseudomonadati; Pseudomonadota; Alphaproteobacteria; Hyphomicrobiales; Rhizobiaceae. The record is from RNAcentral.
UAAGGGCAUUUGGUGGAUGCCUUGGCAUGCACAGGCGAUGAAGGACGUGAUACGCUGCGAAAAGCCGUGGGGAGCUGCGAAUGAGCUUUGAUCCAUGGAUCUCCGAAUGGGGCAACCCACCUUAAAUGCUUGGAAAAUCAUUCUGGUUGUCUGGCCUUUGGCCCGGCAACCCGAGUGGUUUCCAAGCAUUGUGAUAAGGUAUCUACACCUGAAUACAUAGGGUGUAAGAAGCGAACGCAGGGAACUGAAACAUCUAAGUACCUGCAGGAAAGGACAUCAACCGAGACUCCGCAAGUAGUGGCGAGCGAACGC